UGUAAACUUUUUAUUAAGAUGACCUCUGUGUGUCAGUUUUGAGGUUGCUAGGUUGACCUGACCUCUGUAGGUUGACCUCUGACCUCUGUAGGUUGACCUCUGACCUCUGUAGGUUGACCUCUGACCUCUGUAGGUUGACCUCUGACCUCUGUGUUUCAGUGGAUCGUGUCGGGCUCUGAGGACAGCAUGGUGUACAUCUGGAACCUGCAGACCAAAGAGAUAGUUCAGAAACUACAGGGACACACAGACGUGGUGAUCUCGACCGCCUGCCACCCGACGGAGAACAUCAUCGCUUCGGCCGCUCUG
Molecule: long non-coding RNA, 306 nt
Organism: Etheostoma cragini (Arkansas darter)
Lineage: Eukaryota; Metazoa; Chordata; Actinopteri; Perciformes; Percidae
Exons: 2
Source: RefSeq, a predicted model, not a curated record